This 446-nucleotide ribosomal RNA is filed under the name uncultured bacterium. RNAcentral describes it as "SSU rRNA". It matches the Rfam family "Bacterial small subunit ribosomal RNA", at positions 26 to 518 of the family's 1533-position model. The record is from RNAcentral.
AGAACGAACGCUGGCGGCAUGCCUAACACAUGCAAGUCGAACGAGACCUUCGGGUCUAGUGGCGCACGGGUGCGUAACGCGUGGGAAUCUGCCCUCAGGUACGGAAUAACUCAGGGAAACUUGAGCUAAUACCGUAUAAUGUCUUCGGACCAAAGAUUUAUCGCCUGGGGAUGAGCCCGCGUAGGAUUAGCUUGUUGGUGAGGUAAAAGCUCACCAAGGCGACGAUCCUUAGCUGGUCUGAGAGGAUGAUCAGCCACACUGGGACUGAGACACGGCCCAGACUCCUACGGGAGGCAGCAGUGGGGAAUAUUGGACAAUGGGCGCAAGCCUGAUCCAGCAAUGCCGCGUGAGUGAUGAAGGCCUUAGGGUUGUAAAGCUCUUUUACCCGGGAUGAUAAUGACAGUACCGGGAGAAUAAGCUCCGGCUAACUCCGUGCCAGCAGCCGC